Molecule: long non-coding RNA, 1115 nt
Filed under: Anser cygnoides (Swan goose)
Lineage: Eukaryota; Metazoa; Chordata; Aves; Anseriformes; Anatidae
Description: lncRNA (ENSACDG00005008543.1)
Source: RNAcentral
CCCACAGGCAGCCCCACAGGGACCCCAUAGAGCCCUAUAGACCCCCAUAGAGACCCCAGGCAGCCGCAUAGGGCCCCCCCAGGGACCCCACAGAGCCCUAUAGGGCCCCAAGGAGCCACUGCAGCGUCCCCUGGCAGCCCCACAGAGGCCCCAGGGGCCUUAUAGGGCCCUAUAGGCCCCACAGAGCCCCCGGAGAGUCCCCCAGGGUUCGCUAUAGAGGCCUACGGGUCCCCACGGAGACCCAAGAAGACCCUAUAGAGCCCUGUACGCCCUCCCAGAGCUCCCAGGAGCCCCACAGAGCCCCCCAGGGACCCCAUAGAGUCCCCAGGCAGCCCCACAGGGUCCUUAUAGCACCCCAUAGGGCCCCAAUAUCGCCCCGCAGAGCACUAAUAGAGCCCUAUGGGGCCCCAGCAUCACCCCUUAGGGCCCUUAUAGUGCCCCAUAGGGCCCCAAUAGAGCCCCAUAGGGACCUAACGGAGCCCCAGAGAGCACUAACAGAGCCCUAUAGGGCCCCAAUAAAGCCCCAUAAGGACCUUGUAGUGCCCCAGAGGGCCCUUAUAGCACCCCCUAGGGCCCCAAUAUCACCCCCUAGGGCCCUUAUAGUGCCCCCUAGGGCCCUUAUAGCACCCCAUAGUGCCCCAUAGAGCCCCAGUAGAGCCCUAUAGGGACCUAAUGGAGCCCCACAGGGCCCUACAGGACCCCAACAGAGCCCCAAUACCACCCCUAGGGCCCUUAUAGCGCCCCAUAGGGCCCCAAUACCACCCCCUAGGGCCCUUAUAGCGCCCCAUAGGGUCCCAAUACCACCCCCUAGGGCCCUUAUAGCGCCCCACAGGGCCCCAAUAUCACCCAUAGAGCCCCAAUAGAGCCCUAGAGGGACCUAAUGGAGCCCCACAGGGCCCUAUAGGACCCCAAUAGAGCCCCAAUCCCACCCCCUAGGGCCCUUAUAGCCCCCCACAGGGCCCCAAUACCACCCCCUAGGGCCCUUAUGGCACCCCAUAGGGCCCCAAUGUCACCCAUAGAGCCCCAAUAGAGCCCUAGAGGAACAUAAUGGAGCCCCACAGGGCCCUAUAGGACCCCAAUAGAGCCCCAAUACCACCCCCUAGGGCCCUUAUAGC